GGGGGAAAAUUAAUAAAAUAAAAUUAAUAAAAAAAUUUUUAAUAUUGGGGGGUAUUAAAGUAUUUUUUAAAGAAAAAAUAAAAAAUUUUAUAGUGAAUUAAUAUUGUGAAAGAAUUUUGAAAUAAAGUUGAAAAGGAAAUAAAAAAAAAGUAAAUUUAAUUUAUUGUAUCUUGUGUAUCAGAGUUUAUUAAAAAAUAUUUAAUAAAUUAUAAAAUCUCGAAUUUAAAAGAGUUAAUUAAUUAUAAAAGUUAAUGUUGAAUAAUUAUUUUUAAUAAUUAAUUAGAAAUGAAAUGUUAAUCGUUUUUGAAUAUAUCUGGUUUUUUUAGAAAAAAAUUUAAUUUUAAAUUUAAAAAAUUUUAUAUUUAAUUAAUUAAAUAUAAAAUUUUAAAAUUAAAUAUUUUAAGGGAUAAGCUUUAAUUUAAAUAUUUAUAAUAAAAAUAAAUAUUAAUAAAAUUUUUAAAAUUUAUAUUGUUUAAAAAUUAUAGUUUGUUAAAAAAAAUUUUAUAUUAAAUAAAAUUUAAAAUAUUAUUUAAUUUUUUAUAAAAAAAUAUUUUUUAAUAAUAAAAAAAUAGAAAUAAUGAUAAAAUUAGUAUAUUAUUAAUUAAAAAUAUAAAAUAUAAAUUGAAAUUAAUUUAAAGGAAUUCGGCAAAAAUUUAUAUUCACUUGUUUAUCAAAAACAUGUCUUUUAGAAAAUAAUUUAAAGUCUAAUCUGCCCACUGAUUAAAAAUUAAAGGGCUGCAGUAUAUUGACUGUACAAAGGUAGCAUAAUCAUUAGUCUUUUAAUUGAAGACUUGUAUGAAAGAUUUGAUGAAAUAUAAACUGUCUCUAAAUUAUUAAUAAAAAUUAAUUUUUUAGUUAAAAAGCUAAAAUUUAUUUAAAAGACGAGAAGACCCUAUAGAGUUUUAUAAUAUUAAUAAUUAAAAUUAAAUAUAUAAAUAUAAAUUAAAAUUAAUUAAUAUUAUUUUGUUGGGGUGAUAGAAAAAUUAAAGAAACUUUUUUUUUUAUAAAUCAUAAAUUAGUGAAUAAAUGAUCCAUUUAUAAUGAUUAAAAGAAAAAAUUACCUUAGGGAUAACAGCGUAAUUUUUUUUUUUAGUACAAAUAAAAAAAAAAGGUUGCGACCUCGAUGUUGGAUUAAGAUAAAAAUUAAAUGCAAAAGUUUAAAAAUUUUGAUCUGUUCGAUCAUUAAAAUCUUACAUGAUCUGAGUUCAAACCGGUGUAAGCCAGGUUGGUUUCUAUCUU
RNAcentral lists this ribosomal RNA (1239 nucleotides) under Fabriciana coreana. Its description in RNAcentral is "partial 16S ribosomal RNA". The stretch from base 616 to 1239 matches the Rfam family "Archaeal large subunit ribosomal RNA", at positions 1424 to 2715 of the family's 2987-position model. The record is from RNAcentral. Lineage: Eukaryota; Metazoa; Arthropoda; Insecta; Lepidoptera; Nymphalidae.